CUACGGGGGGCAGCAGCAAGGAAUAUUGCGCAAUGGGCGAAAGCCUGACGCAGCGACGUCGCGUGGGGGAUGAAUGUCUUCGGAUUGUAAACCCCUUUUCUCAGGGAAGAAUAAUGACGGUACCUGAGGAAUAAGUCUCGGCUAACUACGUGCCAGCAGCCGCGGUAAUACGUAGGAGGCGAGCGUUAUCCGGAUUUACUGGGCGUAAAGAGGGCGUAGGCGGUCUUUCAAGUCGGAUGUAAAAUCUCCCGGCUCAACUGGGAGGGCGCAUUCGAUACUGUUAGACUUGAGGGCAGCAGAGGAAAGCGGAAUUCCCGGUGUAGUGGUGAAAUGCGUAGAUAUCGGGAGGAACACCAGUGGCGAAGGCGGCUUUCUGGGCUGCAUCUGACGCUGAGGCCCGAAAGCGUGGGGAGCGAACAGGAUUAGAUACCCUUGUAGUC
Molecule: ribosomal RNA, 440 nt
Filed under: uncultured bacterium
Lineage: Bacteria
Description: partial 16S ribosomal RNA
Rfam family: Bacterial small subunit ribosomal RNA
Source: RNAcentral